UACGGAGGGUGCAAGCGUUAAUCGGAAUUACUGGGCGUAAAGCGCACGCAGGUGGCUGAGUCAGUCGAUUGUGAAAGCCCUGGGCUUAACCUGGGAAUUGCAGUCGAUACUACUCAGCUAGAGUAUGGGAGAGGGUAGUGGAAUUCCCGGUGUAGCGGUGAAAUGCGUAGAUAUCGGGAGGAACAUCAGUGGCGAAGGCGGCUACCUGGCCCAGUACUGACACUCAGGUGCGACAGCGUGGGGAGCAAACAGG
Molecule: ribosomal RNA, 253 nt
Filed under: uncultured bacterium
Lineage: Bacteria
Description: partial 16S ribosomal RNA
Rfam family: Bacterial small subunit ribosomal RNA
Source: RNAcentral